UGUAAAGUACUUUCAGCAGUGAGGAAGGGGGUAUCGUUAAUAGCGGUAUCUUUUGACGUUAGSCGCAGAAGAAGCACCGGCUAACUCCGCKCCAGCAGCCGCGGUAAUACGGAGGGUGCGAGCGUUAAUCGGAAUUACUGGGCGUAAAGCGCAUGCAGGUGGUUUGUUAAGUCAGAUGUGAAAGCCCGGGGCUCAACCUCGGAAUUGCAUUUGAAACUGGCAGGCUAGAGUACUGUAGAGGGGGGUAGAAUUUCAGGUGUAGCGGUGAAAUGCGUGKAGAGMUGAAGGAAUACCGGUGGCGAAGGCGGCCCCCUGGACAGAUACUGACACUCAGAUGCGAAAGCGUGGGGAGCAAACAGGAUUAGAUACCCUGGUAGUCCACGCCGUAAACGAUGUCUUYCUUGGAGGUUGUGGCCUUGAGCCGU
Molecule: ribosomal RNA, 425 nt
Filed under: Vibrio fluvialis
Lineage: Bacteria; Pseudomonadati; Pseudomonadota; Gammaproteobacteria; Vibrionales; Vibrionaceae
Description: bacterial SSU rRNA
Rfam family: Bacterial small subunit ribosomal RNA
Source: RNAcentral